GAUGAAGAACGCAGCGAAAUGCGAUAAGUAGUGUGAAUUGCAGAAUUCAGUGAAUCAUCGAAUCUUUGAACGCACAUUGCGCCCCUUGGUAUUCCAUGGGGCAUGCCUGUUCGAGCGUCAUUUGUACCUUCAAGCUUUGCUUGGUGUUGGGUGUUUGUCCUGAGGGACUCGCCUUAAAGUAAUUGGCAGCCAGUGUUUUGGUUUUGAAGCGCAGCACAAGUCACGAUUCAAAGCUAUACGCCAGCUUCCACAAGCCUUUUUCACUUUUGACCUCGGAUCAGGUAGGGAUACCCGCUGAACUUAAGCAUAUCAAUAAGCGGAGGA
RNAcentral lists this unclassified non-coding RNA (324 nucleotides) under soil metagenome. RNAcentral's name for it is "partial contains 5.8S ribosomal RNA, internal transcribed spacer 2, and large subunit ribosomal RNA". The stretch from base 1 to 120 matches the Rfam family "5.8S ribosomal RNA", at positions 35 to 154 of the family's 154-position model. The record is from RNAcentral.